Phoenix dactylifera (date palm) is the source of this 1072-nucleotide long non-coding RNA. RefSeq lists it as uncharacterized. The record is from RefSeq and is a predicted model, not a curated record. NCBI's taxonomy places the organism in Eukaryota, Viridiplantae, Streptophyta, Magnoliopsida, Arecales, Arecaceae.
CCGUCGCCAAGUAUCGGAAUUAGGGUUCUUUCUCCGUUUCCUUUUUUUUUUUCCGUUUUUUCGUAGGAGAUUUGACCUUGGGUCGCUGCCAGAGAUCUGAUCCAUGGCCUCAGCGGAUCCGUCGAGAUUGGGAUGAUGCGAAAUGUUCAUGUUCGGCCAGGAGAAGUUGGAUUGUGAAAGAAUGGAUCAGCAUUGUCAGCUACCGCUUCCACAAGAAAACUAAACUGUCUGUGUUGGAGUAAAUGUUUGGCAUGGUGAAGCACCUAACCUCAUUGACUACAGAAUUCUUUGUUGAGUUUGGGCAUCACGUGUACAAAGGAUUGGAGAAUUCUGCAUACAAAUUAUAGUGAAAAUUUCUUAUUGCCUCUUGUGGAAAAGAAUUGUAGAAUAUGACCAAGGGAUGAUGAUAUUUAUGCUCCACUGCAAGAUUUAGCGAACAAUAUCAGUUUCCCUUACAUUCCAGGCAGAUCUGUAUCAGAGAUUGUGUUUUUUCUGUAUGGUGCUCAGAAGUUGGCAGCUGCAUGGAAAGCGUUUGGUUUGAGGAGAUCCAAUUGCAAGGCAACGCAAAAUCUGAUGUAAUUAAUGUGCUAUGAUGCUAGAUAUUUUGGGUAGUCUUUGUGCUAGGCUCAAUGGUUGCACACUGCCUUCGGGAAAGUAUAACCAAUAUGCAUAUUUUGCUUGGAGAUGGAAGUUAGAAACAGGUUAUUAGAGUUGUGCCUGGCUGAAGACCUGAAAUUUCCCAGGAGAGUUGGGGUUUGCUAGGUCAAUGAUGCCCUGUGCCUCUGAGAGUAGGCCAUUGUGCUUUACAGGACAGGCAUCUUGAUAAAUUGUUUGUAGCAAGAUCAUCAAUUUAUGUAUUAAAUUGAUUAAGUUUUCUGCCCUGUUGAUACCACCUGAAUCAAUAAAAUAGUUUGGGCAGGCUAUUGGUAAUGGAAAUCCUCUAUAAAUUGUAAAGAAUCAGAUGACAAGCAUGGUUUGCAGAGAGCUUGCACAUUUCAAAAUGUACAAGCGCUGUAUGAAUAAAGAAUUCAAACCCUCACAUAAUCUGAUUUCUACUAUUUUUUGAACAGAA